GAUGAAGAACGUAGCGAAAUGCGAUAAGUAAUGUGAAUUGCAGAAUUCAGUGAAUCAUCGAAUCUUUGAACGCACAUUGCGCCCGUCAGUAUUCCGGCGGGCAUGCCUGUUCGAGCGUCAUUACGCCCCUCAAGUCCCCUGUGGACUUGGUGUUGGGGAUCGGCGAGGCUGGUUUUCCAGCACAGCCGUCCCUUAAAUUAAUUGGCGGUCUCGCCGUGGCCCUCCUCUGCGCAGUAGUAAAACACUCGCAACAGGAGCCCGGCGCGGUCCACUGCCGUAAAACCCCCCAACUUUUUAUAGUUGACCUCGAAUCAGGUAGGACUACCCGCUGAACUUAAGCAUAUCAAUAAGCGAGGA
RNAcentral lists this unclassified non-coding RNA (357 nucleotides) under soil metagenome. RNAcentral's name for it is "partial contains 5.8S ribosomal RNA, internal transcribed spacer 2, and large subunit ribosomal RNA". The stretch from base 1 to 120 matches the Rfam family "5.8S ribosomal RNA", at positions 35 to 154 of the family's 154-position model. The record is from RNAcentral.